This 489-nucleotide ribosomal RNA is filed under the name uncultured bacterium. Its description in RNAcentral is "partial 16S ribosomal RNA". It matches the Rfam family "Bacterial small subunit ribosomal RNA", at positions 28 to 507 of the family's 1533-position model. The record is from RNAcentral.
GACGAACGCUGGCGGCGUGCUUAACACAUGCAAGUCGAACGGUGAAGGGAUCAGCUUGCUGGUUCUGGAUGAGUGGCGAACGGGUGAGUAACACGUGAGUAACCUGCCCCCUUCUUCUGGAUAACCGCAUGAAAGUGUGGCUAAUACGGGAUAUUCUGCGCCUGCUGCAUGGUGGGUGUGGGAAAGAUAUUGUUUCGGUGGGGGAUGGGCUCGCGGCCUAUCAGCUUGUUGGUGGGGUGAUGGCCUACCAAGGCGGUGACGGGUAGCCGGCCUGAGAGGGUGGACGGUCACACUGGGACUGAGACACGGCCCAGACUCCUACGGGAGGCAGCAGUGGGGAAUAUUGCGCAAUGGGCGCAAGCCUGAUGCAGCGACGCCGCGUGAGGGAUGGAGGCCUUCGGGUUGUGAACCUCUUUCGCCAGUGAAGCAGGCCUGUCCCUUGUGGGUGGGUUGACGGUAGCUGGAUAAGAAGCGCCGGCUAACUACGUG